This 505-nucleotide ribosomal RNA is filed under the name uncultured bacterium. RNAcentral's name for it is "bacterial SSU rRNA". It matches the Rfam family "Bacterial small subunit ribosomal RNA", at positions 15 to 507 of the family's 1533-position model. The record is from RNAcentral.
GAUCAUGGCUCAGAUUGAACGCUGGCGGCAGGCCUAACACAUGCAAGUCGAACGGUAACAGGGAAGAAGCUUGCUUCUUUGCUGACGAGUGGCGGACGGGUGAGUAAUGUCUGGGAAACUGCCUGAUGGAGGGGGAUAACUACUGGAAACGGUAGCUAAUACCGCAUAACGUCGCAAGACCAAAGAGGGGGACCUUCGGGGCCUCUUGCCAUCGGAUGUGCCCAGAUGGGAUUAGCUAGUAGGUGGGGUAACGGCUCACCUAGGCGACGAUCCCUAGCUGGUCUGAGAGGAUGACCAGCCACACUGGAACUGAGACACGGUCCAGACUCCUACGGGAGGCAGCAGUGGGGAAUAUUGCACAAUGGGCGCAAGCCUGAUGCAGCCAUGCCGCGUGUAUGAAGAAGGCCUUCGGGUUGUAAAGUACUUUCAGCGGGGAGGAAGGGAGUAAAGUUAAUACCUUUGCUCAUUGACGUUACCCGCAGAAGAAGCACCGGCUAACUCCGUG